RNAcentral lists this ribosomal RNA (370 nucleotides) under uncultured organism. RNAcentral's name for it is "partial 16S ribosomal RNA". It matches the Rfam family "Bacterial small subunit ribosomal RNA", at positions 527 to 897 of the family's 1533-position model. The record is from RNAcentral.
GAAGGGAGCUAGCGUUGUUCGGAAUCACUGGGCGUAAAGCGCACGUAGGCGGAUUUGUUAGUCAGGGGUGAAAUCCCGGGGCUCAACCUCGGAACUGCCUUUGAUACUGCAAGUCUGGAGUCCGGAAGAGGUGGGUGGAAUUCCUAGAGUAGAGGUGAAAUUCGUAGAUAUUAGGAAGAACACCGGUGGCGAAGGCGGCCCACUGGUCCGGUACUGACGCUGAGGUGCGAAAGCGUGGGGAGCAAGCAGGAUUAGAUACCCUGGUAGUCCACGCCAUAAACGAUGGAUGCUAGCUGUCGGCAAGCUUGCUUGUCGGUGGCGCAGCUAACGCAUUAAGCAUCCCCGCCUGGGAGUACGGCCGCAAGGUUAA